AUGAUCCCCUUCAAUUCCGCCGUCGCCGACGAGGUCCGCUCCCUCGUCCAGGGCGCCGACGGCUCUACCGUCGACUCCAUCUACCGCGAGCUCUGCCAGUUAGCUGACUGCAGUCCUGAUGGUUGCAUUUUACUGCUUCAAGUUUGUUUGGAUGAGGUGCUGCUGAAUGCCGGGGUGGCAAAAUACUCUCAAUCGAAACAAGAUCUUUUAUCCACCGUUUUCAGAUAUUGUCUGGAUAAACCAUACUUCAGCACCUGUUUUUGUGAAGCACUGAGGACUUUGUCUGUCAGUGAUGUUUUCCUUGAAACGUUGUCAAAUGAACUUGAUCUAUCCAGAGCUGAGAGGGUUGGUAUUGGACUUGCCCUGUCAGAUGCCGAGAAUAUAGGCUUGAAUCUGAAAGGCCAAAGAUUUUCAAUUGCUCAAAUCGAGGAGUUAUGUAAAAAUCCUGCACAGCCUAUAUCGAAUGACCAAAUUCAUGAUAUUGUUGUGUUUCUUCACCAGACUGAUGGCCUCUCAAAGCAUAUGGAUUCUUUUACUAACAUUAUUUCCCUAUUCAAAGUCAAAGAGAUGCCAUUCCAUGUCCCUGUCCUUGUUCAGGACAGCAAUGUUCGGCCAGCUUCAAGCCACAUGGAGAUGUACAUCGGUAGCUUUGAUGAUGAUUUUGAUUCCCUUUUAUCUGAAAUCGGGAAGGAGAUAAGCAUGGCUGACAUCAUUACUGAAUUGGGUUAUGGAUGUACUGCUGAUAUUGCACAUUGUAAAGAUACAUUAUCACUUUUUGAGCCUCUCGAUGAUUUGGGAAUAUCUAAGUUGCUUGGGGCUGUUGUUACUACUGCCGCUGGUCUUGGUGAGGCUCAUAACACAUAUUCAACAUUCAUUUCGGCUUUUGGCAACAGCCAAACAAAUGACUCAUUUCAGUCAACGGCAUGGGAUAUCAAUGUUCUCGUGGACUCAAUCAAUGAAAUUGCCCCACGAACAAAUUGGACAAGUGUAAUGGAAAACCUGGACCACGAGGGUUUCAGUAUCCCUGAUGAAGGGGCUUUCCGUCUAUUGAUGUCGAUAUAUUCUCGGGCUUGCAGGGAUCCAUUUCCGCUUCAUGCCAUCUGUGGGUCACUCUGGAAGAAUUUAGAAGGGCAAUUAUCAUUCUUGAAACAUGCAGUGGCUGCCCCAGCAGAUACAUUUACAUUUAAACAUUCUUCCAGGAAGCUGGUAUUUCCAGACUUGGCUAAUCAUAUCCAAGGCAAUCAGGCUUGGUACUGCCUAGACCUUUUGGAGGUGUUAUGCCAGCUUGCUGACCUUGGCUAUGCAACAUUAGUGCGACCGCUGCUGGACUACCCACUCAGUCAUUGUCCAGACGUCUUACUUCUUGGCGUUAGCCAAAUCAAUACUGCAUACAAUCUCCUCCAGUAUGAAGUAUUGUCAUGCGUAUUCCCUGCUUUAUUGAAGGACACUAAAAAUAGCAGUCUAAUGAACUAUCUCUGGCAUCUCAACCCUUCCCUUACUCUCCGAGGAUUUGUUGAUGCUCAUUCUGAUAUAAUUUGUCUUUUGAGAACUGUUGAUAUAUGUCAAGACCUAAAGAUCCUAUCCGCUGUCCUUGAUUCCACUCCCUUAGCAUUUAGCAUCAAACUUGCCACAGUUUCCUUUCGAAACGAUCAUAGCAAUCUAGAGAAAUGGAUUAUCGAGAAGUUCAGUGCACACAGAGAGGCUUUUAUUGAGGAAUGUGUUAAAUUCUUGAAAGAAAGUGUGGUCAACACAACUCAUGAUGCUGCAGAGGGUGUCAUCCAACAACCUCAAGCUACUAUCACGAAUAUUUGCUGGGAAUCAUGUCCUUUAUUUAUAAAGGUUCUUCAGUCUCACUCUGGACAACUGUUGACUAACCAACUGGUGGAUGAACUAAAUAGAGUGGAAGCAGCGUAUGAAUCAAGGACUCAAGGUUCUCUUGGAAGGGACAUUCCUACUUCCGAGGGAGGUUCUGAUGACAUUGAAGCACAGGCAAAUAUAUAUUUUCACCAGAUGUUUUCUGAACAGAUCAGCAUUGAUGCUAUGAUACAAAUGCUUGCACGCUUCAAAGAGUCUACAAACAAGAGGGAGCUAGCAAUUUUCAAUUGCAUGAUCUCAAACUUGUUCGAAGAGUACAAGUUCUUCCCAAAGUAUCCAGAUACACAGCUUAAGCUAGCUGCUGUUCUUAUGGGCUCUCUCAUUAAACAUCAACUUGUGGCUCACCUGGGACUUGGAGUUGCUCUACGUAGUGUUCUUGAUGCCCUGCGUAAAUCUAUUGAUUCAAAGAUGUUUAUGUUCGGCACGACAGCGCUCGAGCAGUUUAUGGAUCGUGUAAUAGAGUGGCCGCAAUACUGCAACCACAUAUUGCAGAUCUCACAUCUUCGUGGAACACAUGCCGAAUUAGUCUCUGCAAUUGAGCAGGCACUUGCCAAGAUAUCAUCAAGUCAAAACGAACCAAAUAUUGGCAACAUAUUUUCUGUGGAUCCGCAUGGUUCUGGUUCACCAUCUAUCGGAAACACAGAGGUUUCUGACGCAUCAUGGCAGUUCACCAAUCCGACUCCAGCACAGCUUGAACGGUCACCUUCUUCUUUUCCACUGCAACAGAGGUACCAGGGUUUUCUUGGGGAGAGGUCCAAAGGUUCUACAAACAGCGUCCAAGCUAAGAACAUUCUAUCUAUCAGUCAACCUACUGCUUCAACACCUGGUGAUUUGUCUAUGGCUCCGAAGGUUACCGCACCACCAUCCUUACAAGCUUCUCCUCAUCAUUCUGCCACUAUUUCAGCCUCUUCACAAUCCACUAAUUUUCUGAGGCCUAGAAGUUCAGCUCCUUCAGGCACUCGAUCUCCAUACACUACAGGAUUUGGAGCUGCUUUAAAUAUUGAAACUCUUGUUGCUGCCGCAGAACGAAGAGAUACGUCAGUUGAGGCCCCUCCAUCUGAAGUUCAAGACAAGAUAUUCUUCAUGAUCAACAAUAUUUCCAAUUCUAAUUUGGAUGCUAAGGCAAGGGAAUUUAAUGAGGUUUCUCAGGAUCAGUAUUAUCCUUGGUUUGCGCAAUACAUGGUCAUGAAAAGGGCAAGCAUCGAACCGAAUUUUCAUGACUUGUAUUUGAAGUUCUUCGACAAAGUUAACUCAAAAACGUUGAAUAAGGAAAUGGUGAAAGCUACAUAUGAGAACUGCAAGGCUUUGUUGCAAUCGGAUCUUAUCAAAUCAAGUUCCGAAGAGCGUUCGUUGCUAAAAAAUCUGGGUAGUUGGCUAGGAAAGCUCACCAUAGGAAGGAAUCAAACGUUACGAGCGAAGGAAAUUGAUCCCAAAAUUCUUAUAGUUGAGGCAUAUGAAAGGGGGCUGAUGAUCGCGGUCAUUCCAUUCACUUCAAAGAUUCUUGAACCUUGCCAUUCAAGUAUAGCAUAUCGUCCUCCAAAUCCAUGGACAAUGGGUAUUCUUAGCCUACUUGCUGAGAUCUAUAAUCUACCUAAUCUCAAGAUGAACCUGAAGUUUGACAUUGAGGUCUUGUUUAAGAACCUCAGUGUGGACAUGAAAGAUGUAAAACCAUCUUCUCUUCUUAAAGAUCGUACUCGUCAACUUGAAGGAAAUCCGGAUUUUUCUAAUAAAGAUGUCACUGCAUCUCAAACACCAGUCGUUGCAGAGGUUUCCUCUGGUAUGGUCCCAGCAAAAAAUGUUGUUGAAGUGCAACCAGAGUUAACUAGUACCUCACGGGCUACUAGCAUCCCAAAUAUGUUAAACCAGUAUGCACCACCUCUUCGUCUUCCUCCAAACAGCAUGGUUGAAGAUGAUAAGGUUGCUUUAAUAAUGCCCGAUCAGGUUUCACCAUCUCAAACGCCGUCUCCAUUACCGGCUUUGUUUACUCUUAGUCAGCUUAUGGCAGCAAUACCUCGCGCGGAUAUAUAUUUUAGAAUUAAUGAAAAGCUUAGUUCUCUUGGCUCACUGCAAUAUAGCAAAAUCAUGGAUGUUGCUUUGGAUAAGGCUAUUAAAGAAAUUAUAGGCCCCGUUAUUCAAAGAAGUGUUACAAUAGCUACCCGAACUACUAAGGAGCUUAUUCUUAAGGAUUUAGCAAUGGAAUCUGAUGAUAGUGCGGUAUCUCGCGCUGCACAUUUGAUGGUUGGCACGCUAGCUGGGAGUCUAGCUCAUGUAACUUCCAAGGAGCCUCUUCGUGUUGCUUUGUCGUCUCAUCUUCGAAGUCUUAUUCAGAACCUGAACAAUAACAGUGAAACCACUGAGCAGAUUGUUCAUAUUCUGAUCAAUGAUAAUCUAGAUCUUGGAUGUGCGCUAAUAGAGACUGUUGCAACACGCAAGGCUGUUGAGAUGAUCGAUGGAGAAAUCAAGCAUCCUUUUUCACAGCUAAGGAGGCAAAAGGAGUUGCUUGGUUCUGGAUAUUAUGAUGCUUUUCCUUACACUCAAGGUCUUGCACGUGUCCCGGAUGCACUUCGUCCAAAGCCUACUGGCCAUUUGUGUGCUAGCCAACAACGAGUGUAUGAGGACUUCAUUACUGUAUGGCACAGCCAGAGUAGUCAAAAUGCUGGAGCUACCACUUCUGCUACAGCCGUGACUGCUGCACCAGGCAAUUCCAGUAUACCUCGACUUUAUAGCCCAAAUUUGGUACAACCAGCAGAUCUGGUUCCUGAAGAGUCAGAUCAUGGUACCACACAACUUUUAAGUGUUUCCACACAAAUUGGUACAAGUGACACUUUUGCCCAAGCUGGUGGAACUACUAACAUUGCAUCUGUUUUCCCCCCUAUGUCAUCUAAUGACAUUCCAAUGGGUGAAUCAACAGCUGGAACUAAAGAUCUUGGCUCUAUGGUGCCUCUUUCACCUACAACUGCUGUUGACCGUAUGGAAUCUGUUUUCGCUGAACCUUUGAGUACUGACAACGGAUUAGACAGAUACCAUCAAGUUGCACAGAAGCUUGAAGCCUUGAUUGCCAAUGAUGGUAAAGAUGUAGAAAUUCAGUCUGUUAUUGCAGAAGUUCCUGAUAUUUUACACAGAUGUGUUAAGCGGGAUGAAGCUGCAUUAUUGAUUGCACAAAAGGUUUUCAGAAGUUUGUAUGAAAAUGCAUCAAAGAGUACUUAUGUCACAUGGCUUCUGGCAACUUUAGCUGCAAUACGUGAUGUUUGCAAACUUAUCGCUAAAGAGAUAACAAGCUGGGUAAUUUAUUCUGAGGAAGAAAAUAAGUUUAACCUCGACAUAGUUACUGGACUAAUUCGUUCCGAGAUUCUUAAUCUUGGGGAUUAUGAUGUUCAUCUAGCAAAGAUCAUUGAUAGUGGAAGAAACAAGACUGCAACAGAGUUCGCUAUAUCACUUGUCCAGACAUUGAUUACCCAAGAACCCAGUGGCGUUUCUGAGCUUUGUAAUGUUGUUGAUGCAUUAUCGAAGCUUGCAAUCAGGCCUGGUUCACCUGAAUCAUUGCAGCAGUUGAUUGAGAUUGCAAAGAGUAAUUUCAAGAACGCUGCUAGCUUUGCCGCCAUGAAGGAUGAAAAGGUUUUAUCUGGCCGUCCUUCAUCAGUAUAUAAAGAAGAAAAUGAUUCUGCUUUUGCAGAUGCUGUUAGUUUUCAAGACCAGGUUGCAGUUUUAUUCUCGGACUGGUGUCACAUAUGUGAUCAUCCAACUAUGGGUGAUUCAGCAUAUAGUCAUUACAUUGUGCAGUUGCAACAACAUGGCUUGCUUAAGGGAGAUGAUUUGACUGACCGCUUCUUCCAUACUCUCACGGAACUUGCCAUCACACAUGCUGUUGUCUCUGAGCAAGUUAUUGCUCCUGGUGGGAUGUCUCAGCAGCCGGCCCAGCAACUCCAGAUUUCAUAUUUCUCAAUUGAUUCAUACUCGAAGCUUGUGACUUUAAUGUUCAAGUAUGGCGUGGAUUUAGGACCAAACAAAGGCAGCCUUCUUCUGAAGAUUCUCUCCAUAACCACUAGGAUCAUUCAGAAAGAUGCUGAAGAAAAGAAAGUUUCUUUCAAUCCUCGGCCAUAUUUUAGAUUAUUUAUAAAUUUGCUAAGUGAGCUUAGCACUGCUGACCUUCAUGAUGGUGCUAGUUUUCAGGUUUUGACUGCAUUUGCAAAUGCUUUUCAUGUGCUUCAACCCUUGAGAGUUCCUGCAUGGAGUUUUGCUUGGCUUGAAUUGGUAAGCCAUAGAAGCUUCAUGCCGAAGUUAUUGCUGUGCAAUUCACAAAAGGGCUGGCCAUUCUUCCAGAGGCUGCUUGGUGAUUUGUUCAAAUUUAUGGAACCAUAUCUAAGAAACGCUGAGCUGGGACAGCCCAUUCAGCUUUUAUACAAAGGAACUUUGAGAGUGCUGCUUGUUCUACUCCAUGACUUUCCUGAGUUCCUCUGCGACUACCACUUCAGUUUCUGUGAUGUGAUUCCCCCAAGCUGCAUUCAAAUGCGUAAUGUUAUUCUUAGUGCAUUUCCACGCAAUAUGAGACUUCCUGAUCCCUCUACUCCUAAUUUGAAGAUUGACCUGCUAGCUGAAAUUUCAGUAGCUCCAAGAAUCAUGUCUGAUGUGGAAGGUGCUUUGAAGGCAAAGCAAAUGAAGACCCAGGUUGACGAGUACCUCAAGAGACCAGAAGGUUCAUCCUUUUUAACUGAUUUAAAGCAGAAGUUAGUGCUGCCUCCAAAUGAAGCGAAUGUUGCUGGGACUCGUUAUAAUGUUCCCUUAAUUAAUUCACUGGUCGUCUAUGUUGGCAUCCAGGCUGUGCAACAGUUGCAGCAUAACAAGGCAAAUGCAUCAGCAUCAGCGCAGCAAAUGAACCAAAGUCCUCAGGUGGAUGUUUUUCAGAUUGAAACAGCCACUGAGGUCUACAGAAAUCUUAUAGUGAAUAUGGAUACCGAAGGCCGUUACCUCCUCCUGAACGCGAUUGCUAACCAGCUACGCUAUCCAAACAAUCAUACUCACUACUUCUCCUUCAUCAUUUUGUACUUGUUUGCUGAGGCAACACAGGAUAUCGUACAGGAGCAGAUAACUAGAGUUCUUUUAGAGCGCCUAAUAGUUAAUCGUCCUCAUCCCUGGGGAUUACUUAUUACUUUCAUUGAGCUCAUAAAGAAUCCACGCUAUAGCUUUUGGGCUCGAUCCUUUACACGCUGUGCACCGGAGAUUGAGAGGCUGUUUGAGUCUGUUGCAAGGUCUUGUGGAGGUAAAGCUGCGGAAGAGGGAGUUCUCGCUGAUGGUGGUCAUUAG
This 7176-nucleotide ribosomal RNA is filed under the name Triticum aestivum (bread wheat). Its description in RNAcentral is "partial small subunit ribosomal RNA". The record is from RNAcentral. Lineage: Eukaryota; Viridiplantae; Streptophyta; Magnoliopsida; Poales; Poaceae.